UCGGGAAUUUUGGGCAAUGGGCGAAAGCCUGACCCAGCAACGCCGCGUGAGGGAUGAAGUAUUUCGGUAUGUAAACCUCGAAAGAAUGGGAAGAAUAAAUGACGGUACCAUUUAUAAGCUCCGGCUAACUACGUGCCAGCAGCCGCGGUAAUACGUAGGGAGCAAGCGUUGUUCGGAUUUACUGGGCGUAAAGGGCGCGUAGGCGGCGCGGUAAGCCACUUGUGAAAUCUCUGAGCUUAACUCAGAACGGCCAAGUGAUACUGCUGUGCUAGAGUGCGGAAGAGGCAACCGGAAUUCUUGGUGUAGCGGUGAAAUGCGUAGAUAUCAAGAGGAACACCUGAGGCGAAGGCGGGUUGCUGGGCCGACACUGACGCUGAUGCGCGAAAGCCAGGGGAGCAAACG
This 402-nucleotide ribosomal RNA is filed under the name uncultured bacterium. RNAcentral describes it as "bacterial SSU rRNA". It matches the Rfam family "Bacterial small subunit ribosomal RNA", at positions 355 to 774 of the family's 1533-position model. The record is from RNAcentral.